This 363-nucleotide ribosomal RNA is filed under the name Triticum aestivum (bread wheat). RNAcentral describes it as "partial small subunit ribosomal RNA". Lineage: Eukaryota; Viridiplantae; Streptophyta; Magnoliopsida; Poales; Poaceae. The record is from RNAcentral.
AUGGUGUAUUCAACACUCAAUAGAUCAGUACGAACUGCUAACAAUUCAGUACUAAUUGUUGAAAAUUUUGGCACUGAAUACCUCGGUCAGAGAUGGGAUAAUGCAGAGGAGAGGACAGAGGAGAUCGAACAGGUGCAGGGGAGACGGCGUGCUGGUGCAGGCACAUCCUCCCCCUCCUCCAGCUUCGUGGUCAUCUCUUAUCGACAGCAGCGAGCCGGCGAGGAGGUGGUCGACGGCGGACAGGUAGAGACGGCGGCGGUCGACCCUCAACUCGACGGCAGGCAGCUGCACGCGCUGCGCUCCCUCCUCUUCUCCUCUUUCCCUCCAGUACUGCGGCUUCGUGGUCUACGGCGAGGUGGUUGA